AGAACUUGAUCAGAGGUCAUGGAUGAGGCA
This 30-nucleotide non-coding RNA is filed under the name Homo sapiens (human). Lineage: Eukaryota; Metazoa; Chordata; Mammalia; Primates; Hominidae. The record is from RNAcentral.